GCUUUGGACAUCUUGGAAGGAUGAUACAAAGCCAGCAAGAUCUCCUGUUGGGCAAUGCUGUACCAGGGAAAAAGAGUGGGAUGGGAGAGGCAGAGAGGAUCAGGAGGAUGUGACUCUUACAAAGGCACUUAUGUCACCAUCCACGGACACCCACCUCAGUGGGUUUAGGAGCUCCCUGCAGAUAGGCAGAAAUGGAAAUACUCCUCUUCUGUAUCAUCUGACCCUGUUCUGCUGGGACACCCCCUUUCCUUUGUCCACCUGAGUGUAUCUGGAUGAAGCAGUCAUUGCAUCUUCCACCUUCAUCACUGGGGCUCUCGUGAGAAGAUGUGGACGUUGAUGUGGCUCUGACAGGGAGUUUGCACUGAUCAUAGAUGGAGAGAGAGAGAGAGAGAGAUGCUGGAGCAGGUGUGGGACAACAGGUCAAGGCUUUGUCCUGUAAUCCUCUCACCUCUGAUACCCCACAGAGACUCCUGACGGCCAAGAGACUGCCUUUUCCAAGAGGUAUAUGUCCUGCAGUAAGAUCUCCAGUUUGUAGUAAAAAUAACUAUCACUUACUUCACAGGCCCAUGGAAAAGCACCUGCCUGGGCAGCAGGAGACUGGAAAAUUGCAGCUGUGAAACUGGAUGUGCUAACUUCUGUACAGAACAUCCAUGAAUUUAGACUUCACUUUUCCCUGGUAAAACUUUGGAUUGUCUUGAUUUUUAUUCACACAUGAAAGGUGAAAUGGUCUAAAUCUUAAUGUUUAAUGAGUUGGGGACUGUUUCUCAGUUUCAAAAAUCCAUUAGCCUCUUAGUCAGCGAGGAGUAAAGAGCUGUUUUGAAUUCAUGGUACGUCUUCAAAGUUUCUUUCAAAGAUUACUUUUUUUUCCCCUUCUCCUCUCAUGUAUCUCAGAAGAAACCAGGCUGCCAAACUGCUCCAGGAAGCUCUUCUGAGAUAGAGACAUCCAUCUCUGUGUACGGUCUGUACUUGUGAAGCAGAGCACAAAGCCCUUUUUCCAUUUAAUCCAUAUUAAUUAUCUCUCUGCAGCUCCUCUGUAGUUUCCACUCAGCCUAAGCAUCAAAAACUUGUGUGGCUGCAUCUUGAACAAACCAGAGCUUUUCACUCCACACCUGAGAUCACUUAGCUGGAGAUAACUAGGGAGAUGCCUGAGAAAAGGAGCAAUUACAGGGUCCUUUAUCUGCCAAAAAGGAAGUUCAAAGUGCUGGCGGAACAACCCCUCUCACCCCAGUGAGGACACUGAAGCGAGAGCAACUCGUUUGCCUUUCUGGUCACGUACCCCCCAUGAAAUGUAAAUAAAUACUAGGCUGUGAA
Molecule: long non-coding RNA, 1311 nt
Organism: Pipra filicauda (Wire-tailed manakin)
Lineage: Eukaryota; Metazoa; Chordata; Aves; Passeriformes; Pipridae
Exons: 6
Source: RefSeq, a predicted model, not a curated record